UAUAGAGGCAAAGUAUGAAGUUGGACAAGGGGGCCGAUGACACGUAAAGGAACAGACGCGGCGAAGGAGCAAACGAAGCCAUGUUGCAGUGACACGCAGGUUCCUAUAGUUUUGAUUACAAACCCAAUUGACACGAGUCCAAGGCUUGCGGUGGUUAAAUUGAGCACUAUCUAGUAGAUUCCAUUUGGGUUUCUAGCCUUCUAUGAUCUUUCAAGAAAGAAGAAGAAAACCCUGUCUCAGAUAUUAUCAUCCAAGACCGAAAGCAAGUGCACAGCCAUUUCUGGUUCUUGUUUGCUGGUGACAGCUUUAGCAACGAGCCACUGAUGAAAUAUUACAGCUUGAGGACAAGCAGGGAGUUUUGAAAGGAGCUGAUGAGCACCGUAAAAAACCACCGAAUGAAGUAGCUUUGCCCAAAAGUUUCAAUGCAGUUUUUGCCUUUUCUCUCUGUUUCCUUUCUUUUUCUUGGGAACUCUAGGGAAGUGCUGCAAAAAGCCAUAAUAUGGUUGCUGCUAAUGGCAAUGAAGUUACGCUUUCUGAAAAUGUUAUGGGCUUUGGUUCCUCAACAAGGCAUUAUUUCGCGGUGGGAUCGAAGAUCAUCCCUGUCUUCCAUGUUAAGAAACAUGAGACUCCAACCUUUUUGGGGGUGGUUUUAAAAAAUCAUCCUUUCAAAGAACUCUAUCCAUUUUAUAAUCCGAGAAUUGCUUAUGUUCAGGACUGCCACUGCCAGCUAGUUUACAAGGGGGCGGUUUGCUUACGCCCGGACACCUUCCAAAAUGCUGGUGGUGGGAUGUAAAAACUAUCAUUCAUUUCCACUGUCAAAAGCAUACAGAAAAGAGAAGGUAUCCAGCACGGUGAAAACCGCUAUAAGGCACCAUGCCAUGCCACUCGACCACUAGAACCAGAAGAGAAGCUACCGAUAAUACAGAAAAUAAGAUAAAAAAAGCAGAGAUACCAGACGAUCUUGACAAUAGUAAACCUAGAGUACUUCUAAACCACUAAGACUCGACAUUGACAAACAGAGCCGAAGCAGAGACAUAUAGGCUACGG
Long non-coding RNA from Theobroma umbraticum, 1047 nucleotides. RefSeq lists it as uncharacterized. The record is from RefSeq and is a predicted model, not a curated record. Lineage: Eukaryota; Viridiplantae; Streptophyta; Magnoliopsida; Malvales; Malvaceae.